GGCCUUUUGUUUAUAUAUAAGGUCUGACCUGCCCAAUGAGGUUUUAAUGGCCGCGGUAUUUUGACCGUGCAAAGGUAGCAUAAUCAUUAGUCUUUUAAUUGGGGGCUGGUAUGAACGGUUGGACGAGGGGAAAGCUGUCUCGUAAAGUAUGGUACGUAAUUUUACUUUUAAGUGAAAAGGCUUAAAUGGAUGUGGGGGACGAUAAGACCCUAUAGAUCUUAACAGUCUGGUUUGUUAUAAGUGAGGUUUGUAACGAUAAGGGUUGUUUUGUUGGGGCGACAGGAGGAUAGGUAAAACUCUUCUUAUUUAAGGUUAUUUUUAUUGAUAUAUUUGUGAUCCAUUGUUGGUGAUUGUAAGACUAAGUUACCUUAGGGAUAACAGCGUAAUCUUUCUUGAGAGUUCAUAUCGACAGGAAGGGUUGCGACCUCGAUGUUGGAUUAAGGAUUCACUAUGGUGUAGCAGUUAUAGAAGGAGGGUCUGUUCGACCCUUAAAUCCUUACA
Molecule: ribosomal RNA, 501 nt
Filed under: Speleonycta ozarkensis
Lineage: Eukaryota; Metazoa; Arthropoda; Insecta; Zygentoma; Nicoletiidae
Description: partial 16S ribosomal RNA
Rfam family: Bacterial large subunit ribosomal RNA
Source: RNAcentral